RNAcentral lists this ribosomal RNA (484 nucleotides) under uncultured bacterium. RNAcentral's name for it is "partial 16S ribosomal RNA". It matches the Rfam family "Bacterial small subunit ribosomal RNA", at positions 30 to 507 of the family's 1533-position model. The record is from RNAcentral.
AUUGAACGCUGGCGGCAGGCCUAACACAUGCAAGUCGAGCGGAUGAAGGGAGCUUGCUCCUGGAUUCAGCGGCGGACGGGUGAGUAAUGCCUAGGAAUCUGCCUGGUAGUGGGGUAUAACGUCCGGAAACGGGCGCUAAUACCGCAUACGUCCUGAGGGAGAAAGUGGGGGAUCUUCGGACCUCACGCUAUCAGAUGAGCCUAGGUCGGAUUAGCUAGUUGGUGGGGUAAAGGCCUACCAAGGCGACGAUCCGUAACUGGUCUGAGAGGAUGAUCAGUCACACUGGAACUGAGCCACGGUCCAGACUCCUACGGGAGGCAGCAGUGGGGAAUAGUGGACAAUGGGCGAAAGCAUGAUCCAGCCAUGCCGCGUGUGUGAAGAAGGUCUUCGGAUUGUAAAGCACUUUAAGUUGGGAGAAAGGGCAGUAAGUUAAUACCUUGCUGUUUUGACGUUACCAACAGAAUAAGCACCGGCUAACUUCGUG